Molecule: ribosomal RNA, 253 nt
Filed under: uncultured bacterium
Lineage: Bacteria
Description: partial 16S ribosomal RNA
Rfam family: Bacterial small subunit ribosomal RNA
Source: RNAcentral
UACGUAGGUGGCAAGCGUUGUCCGGAUUUACUGGGUGUAAAGGGCGUGUAGCCGGGCUUACAUGUCAGAUGUGAAAUCCGGGGGCUCAACCCCCGAACUGCAUUUGAAACUGUAGGUCUUGAGUAUCGGAGAGGCAGGCGGAAUUCCUAGUGUAGCGGUGAAAUGCGUAGAUAUUAGGAGGAACACCAGUGGCGAAGGCGGCUUACUGGACCAUGACUGACGUUGAGGCUCGAAAGCGUGGGGAGCGAACAGG